CCCUCUCCAGUCACAGACCCCACGCCUGAGAUGGUGGGCAGGGUACUAAGGGUUUUCCUAUCAUCCACCCUCUUUCUUUGCUCUGAUACAGGCCUGUCUUUGUCUUUCUCCUCCUUUUCCUUUUUCUCUCCGGGUUCCCAGUCCUGUUUCUGACUGUGUCCCCCAGUCCCUACCUACUUAUCUGGUGGACUGUCAGCCCCUUGUUUGAACGACUGCUCUAAGGUUUUAACUCGACCCAUCCCAAACGUUUUAUAAACGUCCGCUCACGCACGUGUAAGAGCUGAUGUAGUUCUAUAUAAACUCAAAAGUAGCCACUGGGGGAGGAACUACUCUGUCCAGGAGACCUGGAAAGUGUAGGGUUUGGGGAGAAAAGCCCAGAGUUCAGGUGCUGGGCUAUUGCUUUGCCUUCCUGGUGACGUUCUUUGGGUUCUGCACUUUGCAUGAUAUUUUGUGGCCAAUGUGCUGACAUUUCAGAGCGAGUGCAUAAAUUGUCUAGUGGAGUGACUAACACUUGCAAGCAAAGGGGAGGGGUCGUGGAGCGCCCCUGGGUUACUUCAUCCUCACACCAGUGUCCAUGGAGUUAGGCUUUUGAGUGUUUCGGUCAAAAAUCCUAGGUUCCAUAACAUCAGAAAAUGGCUCCCAGACAGGUCCCAAUCCUCCUCUGAAUUUUACUUUCAAGUAGAGGCAGACCCAUUCCAUGGGGCCCACCCCUGUUGCUCCCCUCACUGCCAACAGGAGAGGCCUUUUGUCACUGCCCGGUUCUCAGUGCAGCUAACCAAGAGCCAGCUUCACUCCUGCCAGUUCUGAGAUCCCGGCGCCAUAGCAUCAUUUCACCUGGCAGCCAUCACUAGCCAAGUCUUCAGCUUUGAAACGGAGGUGCAGCAGAGGCGUUUUGGAAACGUUCCUGCUAGGAAAAGGCCUACCCGGAGGCUCAGAGCUAAAUAACAGGGAUGGCUGGAUUAGAGCUGCCGGGGACCUGGGCCUGGGGAGGCUUGGCAGAAGUCAACCAACCUGGGAUCGGUCCCAAGGACUCGGUGGAAAGGGGUUGGCGCAUCAGAGUUCUCUUGUUCGAGGUCCCGGGAGGACAGUGCACCCCGCGUCUAAUUAGGGGAGACGAGGCCCUAGAUCCACCGAACCUCCGUUACAAGGGCCACCCCACAGGAAACUCGCUCCGAUUUGGGUCCCUUUGUAUUUUACGCCUGCCCAAGUUGCCUGCCUCCGGUAGGACUGACCGUCUGCCCGGCCUUACUCUGCUGCCAACCUUGCCCGAAACCUAGACCCCAGAUCCGGUAAGUCGCGUUCUCCCCUCACCCCGCCCCGCCACCUUUCUAGCGGACUCCGCGGGCGGCUGCGUGUGCGCGCGAGCCGCCGGAGGCGCGCGCCGAGAACUUGGGCCCCUGCGGCUGGUGUGUGUGAACACAGAGUACCCGAAGUAGUCAGAGGUGUCGUGGGGCUCCCCUGUGAGGAGGGAGCGGAGCGGGGUGGUCCAGCCUCGCUCCUCUGGAUCCUCUGUCCCUGUGGACACCCACCAAAGCUAUCUUUUAAGAAUAAGCUUUCUGCUGGUCUCGUGAGUGUGUGUGUGUUUUGGGUGAGGGAAGCAGGGGGAGGGGAAUUGCCCCUUCCCCUAAGCAGUUUCUAAUUCCUGAGGUCCCCAACAAAGUUUACUCAUGAUUUCCAUUCGAAUGCUGUGAAGUUAUUAUCAUUACUAUUUCAAGUGAAGAUUUCUGAGAGUCGCAGCUUCUCAGAUAUACGUGCCUCUGGAGGGCAUUUCGACAAUUACCUUGUCCACUAACUCCUCUCCCUUCCCACUGGAAAAAAAAUAAACUUAAUUUUUCAGUAGUUGCCUUAGGACACGUCGUUUACAAGUCCCUAAUGUGAGGGAAGAAGGGAAGAAAGAAAAACAACCUUGGCAUUUCUCGUUGGGACUCUGCGUGCUCUGUUAUUGAAAUGUGAAAGAUGGAUUUUUGGGGGGGAGGGGGAGGCAGAGCGCUGGAAGAGUGCUUUUGAACCGCGCUGCCCUGUUGCACGGGGCUGACCUUUGGCUGACACGGCCACGGAGCGGGCCGUUCGUUAACGAGGAUUUGAUACAUUAGACAUUCGAGCUGGGCGUGUAAACCCACACUCUGAAUCCAGAUUUCGCUCAAAUUAGUGUACGAGGAAAUGAUCUUUUUAAGUCCUGAGGCUUAACCAAGUGUCAGGAGGGCCGAUUGCUGCCUGAAAAGGGCAGGGAAAGACACUGUGUAAAAGGCACAUUCACUGCUCCUUAAAAAACAAACAAAAUCAACCCCCCAAAUCAUCUUUGAAAAAUUUCCGAAAUCCUCCCAAGUCGCUCCUUUUAAGUGAUGCUUAUAAAUAAGGCUAAUCAUCUCGUUCUAGUGAAUUCGGUUGUAUUAAUUCCUAACACGAGGCAAAGCUGUGAAGACAGUGUCACAGUUAUGGAUAUAUAUGUGUGUGCAUGAAAAUAUAUACACAUAUAUUAUAUAUAUGUAAUACACAAUUAUAUAAUUUUUUUCUCAUUAAUCGCUGGAGAUGUUAGAAUGUGACAGUUCAUUUCUGCCAGGCAGUGGGGGCACAUAUGGAGGGGAAAGUCACAGAUUUUAAAACCGUUUCAAAGUUGACGCGUCUCGAUUUAAUUUGGUUCGACUCGUGUCCAGACUUCGGAGCCCAUCAAGGGAAGGCAGGCUGGCCACGGGGAUCCCGGCCUGGCGCGCGGGGGCGGAACUUGCAGCUCGCCAGCCUCACGGAUGAGACUGAAGUUGGGGACUUGGCUGUGACAGUGGAAUAGGAAGCCAGUUGGAGGCCGCAGCGGCUCCCGCAGUAUUUACUGACUUUGGAAAGGUGUGAUUUUAUUUAAGUUGACAAUAGAGCUCCAACUUAAAAAAAAAUAAAAUAAAAUAAGCACCUCUAGAAAAUGUUUUUCUCCUCCUUCUCCCAAAAGCAGAGCCCGCGAAAUGCUCUGAAUUGGAGAGGGGGGAGAAAUUCGCUCCUGCACGAGUUGCCAGCCAUUCUUAGGGGUGGAAAGGGGAGGAGGUAUCUGUGCCCUGCAGCCCUGCAAAGGCCGAUUGCCCUCAACUACCAUCCUGGGGGAGGGUCGCAGCGGCCGUGGCAGUUUUCUACACCUGAGUGUUGGAUUCUGCCUCAGGGUUUCGCUGGGGCUGCACUGGGGCGGUUUCUGGGACCAGAGUUUAUUAGGCGAAGCAAUUUUUGGCCUUAAAUUUUGCUCUGGGAGUCUGCCUCCAAUCCCCUCUUGUCCUCUGAGUGUGGAUAAAAAGAUGGAAAAUUAACUAUCAUGAAAAGAAAGAGACAGUUUAAAAACAAGGAUGCUAAGGGAGAGAAGUGAUUCUCCCAGACCUACGAUAAAGAAAUUCAGACAGGGCCCAGGAGAGGUACAGGAUUCAUUCCAGACAGAGCUCUCUAGACCCAGUCCCACUCACAGGCUGACAGGCUCGCAUGUCCCAGACCUUUCGGAUCAGGGCAGCUGAGCGGGCGGAACACUUUUCUGGAUUCAGGCUCUGACCCCCUUUCGAAAAAUCACACCUCUGCACAAUCUUGACAACAAACGGCCAAGGUUUGGGAGGGUUACAAAAGCUGGCCUAACGGUGAACAGGAGAGUAGGGGAAGAAGGAAAGGUUGGGAGUGGAGAGAGCAGAGUUUGCUGCCAGUCCUCUUCAAGAUCGAGUUCAUUUUUCCCUUGUAGCGGGUCCCAGGUUUGUAGCAUCACCAACCAUGCUUGGGGGAGAAACUCUCCGGAUCACCAACUGCCAAAGUUGUGUCAAGUUUGAGGUAGAAAAACGGUGGGUCUGUUUCAUUUUAAGGUCCACUUCUGGAGUCAGUGGAAACCAUCUAACGUUGACUUUUAUAAAGAGUGGAAGGAAGGAAGCCCCCGCAGUUUGCAGACUAGUCUGGAGUUUCUUUGGUCCUCUUGUCUAGACCGCCCACCCACGUCCAGCCCCGGGAGUCUCCACAAGCGCUGGGGCCUCCGCACGCGGUCUGGAGUCUGGGUGCCCGCUUGUGCUCGGAAGCCGCGGACGCUGUGGUUCUGACUUCGGCAGGACUUUCUGGCGGGCGCCAGGGCUGCGCCUUUCGCCGCUUGGGGGUUUCCUCCGGCCCUGACCCGGGCUUCCUCCCCGUAGCCCCCCACAGCCCUAGGCCUGGCCACCCCAGGGACUGCCCUGGACCUGACAUAGGCAGAGCGGUCGCUGACGUCAGGGGCUCCCAGUGACCCGAAUUCCAGCCCCGGCCAGGAGGCGCGCGGCGCGGGCAUCAUUAAUUACCAGACGCUAAAUGUUAC
This 4291-nucleotide long non-coding RNA is filed under the name Capra hircus (goat). RNAcentral describes it as "lncRNA (ENSCHIG00010002925.1)". Lineage: Eukaryota; Metazoa; Chordata; Mammalia; Artiodactyla; Bovidae. The record is from RNAcentral.